UCGAGCGGGGACUUCGGUCCUAGCGGCGAACGGGUGAGUAACGCGUGGGAACAUACCCUUUGGUACGGAAUAGCCUCUGGAAACGGAGAGUAAUACCGUAUGUGGUCGUAAGACGAAAGAUUUAUCGCCAAAGGAUUGGCCCGCGUUGGAUUAGGUAGUUGGUGGGGUAAUGGCCUACCAAGCCGACGAUCCAUAGCUGGUUUGAGAGGAUGAUCAGCCACACUGGGACUGAGACACGGCCCAGACUCCUACGGG
RNAcentral lists this ribosomal RNA (255 nucleotides) under uncultured Paracoccaceae bacterium. RNAcentral's name for it is "uncultured Rhodobacteraceae bacterium partial 16S ribosomal RNA". It matches the Rfam family "Bacterial small subunit ribosomal RNA", at positions 62 to 345 of the family's 1533-position model. The record is from RNAcentral. Lineage: Bacteria; Pseudomonadati; Pseudomonadota; Alphaproteobacteria; Rhodobacterales; Paracoccaceae.